RNAcentral lists this ribosomal RNA (446 nucleotides) under uncultured bacterium. Its description in RNAcentral is "SSU rRNA". It matches the Rfam family "Bacterial small subunit ribosomal RNA", at positions 26 to 518 of the family's 1533-position model. The record is from RNAcentral.
AGAGCGAACGCUGGCGGCAGGCUUAACACAUGCAAGUCGAGCGGGCGUAGCAAUACGUCAGCGGCAGACGGGUGAGUAACGCGUGGGAACAUACCUUUUGGUUCGGAACAACACAGGGAAACUUGUGCUAAUACCGGAUAAGCCCUUACGGGGAAAGAUUUAUCGCCGAAAGAUUGGCCCGCGUCUGAUUAGCUAGUUGGUGAGGUAAUGGCUCACCAAGGCGACGAUCAGUAGCUGGUCUGAGAGGAUGAUCAGCCACAUUGGGACUGAGACACGGCCCAAACUCCUACGGGAGGCAGCAGUGGGGAAUAUUGGACAAUGGGCGCAAGCCUGAUCCAGCCAUGCCGCGUGAGUGAUGAAGGCCUAGGGUUGUAAAGCUCUUUUGUGCGGGAAGAUAAUGACGGUACCGCAAGAAUAAGCCCGGCUAACUUCGUGCCAGCAGCCGC